RNAcentral lists this non-coding RNA (365 nucleotides) under Trichomonas vaginalis G3. RNAcentral's name for it is "Archaeal large subunit ribosomal RNA". It matches the Rfam family "Archaeal large subunit ribosomal RNA", at positions 1 to 278 of the family's 2987-position model. The record is from Rfam by way of RNAcentral. Lineage: Eukaryota; Parabasalia; Trichomonadida; Trichomonadidae.
CAUCAAAAACCAAGUCUCUAAGCAAUGGAUGUCUUGGCUCCUCACACGAUGAAGAACGUGGCAUAAUGUGUUAAGUAACCGGAGUUGCAAACAUCAUGACAGGUUAAUCUUUGAAUGCAAAUUGCGCUAAACUCGAUCUCGGUCGAGAAGCAUGGGUGUGACAGUACUACAUCUUUUAUAAUAAUUCUUAUUCUAAGCGAAUAAGUAAAUAAUAUAUAAGACAAACAACACGUAGUCUGCCAUACGCAGGAAGACCCGCUGAACUGAAGCAUCUCAUUAAGCGGAGGAAAAGAAACUAACUAGGAUUCCCUUAGUAAAGGCGAUCGAAAAGGGAACAGCCCAACGUCUUAAUCCCGCAAGGGAAA